GGGGAUGUAGUUCAGUGGUAGAGUACUUGCCUAGCAUGCACAAAGGCACUGGGUUCCAUCCUCAGUACCAUCCUCA
This 76-nucleotide transfer RNA is filed under the name Marmota monax (woodchuck). RNAcentral describes it as "tRNA.Ala". The record is from RNAcentral. Lineage: Eukaryota; Metazoa; Chordata; Mammalia; Rodentia; Sciuridae.